UCACUGGUGGCUCAGAUGGUAAAGCAUCUGCCUGCAAUGCAGAAGACCCAGGUUCGAUCCCUGGGUCGGGAA
Molecule: transfer RNA, 72 nt
Filed under: Bos taurus (domestic cattle)
Lineage: Eukaryota; Metazoa; Chordata; Mammalia; Artiodactyla; Bovidae
Also listed under: 4 other names
Rfam family: tRNA
About the family: Transfer RNA (tRNA) molecules are approximately 80 nucleotides in length. Their secondary structure includes four short double-helical elements and three loops (D, anti-codon, and T loops).
Source: Rfam by way of RNAcentral